This 478-nucleotide ribosomal RNA is filed under the name uncultured bacterium. Its description in RNAcentral is "partial 16S ribosomal RNA". It matches the Rfam family "Bacterial small subunit ribosomal RNA", at positions 28 to 507 of the family's 1533-position model. The record is from RNAcentral.
GAUGAACGCUGGCGGCGUGCUUAACACAUGCAAGUCGAACGAGAAGUGAAGACGGAAACCUUCGGGCGGAAGGCUUUAUUUCGAGUGGCGGAAGGGUGAGUAACGCGGGGGUAACCUGCCGCAUACAGGGGGAUAACAGAUGAAAACGACCGUUAAUACCGCGUAAGACCACAGCACCGCAUGGUGCGGGGGUAAAAACUCCGGUUGGAUGAGAUGGACCCGCGUUCGAUUAGCCAGUUGGCGGGGUAACGGCCCACCAAAGCGACGAUCGAUAGCCGAUCUGUGAGGAUGCCCGGCCACAUUGGGACUUAGCCACGGCGCAAACUCCUACGGGAGGCAGCAGUGGGGAAUAUUGCACUGUGGGGGAUACCCUGAUGCAGCGACGCUGCGUGAGUGAAGAUGUAUUUCGGUAUGUAAAGCUCUAUCAGCAGGGCAGAAAAUGACGGUACCUGAGUAAGAAGCCCCGGCUAACUACGUG